Molecule: long non-coding RNA, 269 nt
Filed under: Lathyrus oleraceus (garden pea)
Lineage: Eukaryota; Viridiplantae; Streptophyta; Magnoliopsida; Fabales; Fabaceae
Description: Pisum sativum (pea) long non-coding RNA (PSAT_LNC031108)
Source: RNAcentral
UUCCUAAGAGCUUUGCUUGAUUGAUUGAUUGCUUGAGUAUACACUUAUUUUCUUGCUUAUUCCAAAGGAUGGGAGCUACUUGGAUCAUCAAUAUGAUCUCAAGAAGGAAACUCUAUUUGUGGUCUUAUUUAUUUCCCUUCAUCUCUUGUAUGAUUAGGACUUAGCCAUUCUUCUUCUUCCCUCCACUCUAACCCAAGCCAAAACUUUUGUGCAAACAUUAACAUUUCUUUUCAACAUUAGAAACCUAAGCAUUAUGCUUUUGAUUUUUU